GCAGCACCCCCUUUUUUGCAGACAAAGGGGUGUGAACCCACCUGGGGAUGAGGCCUGGUCUUGUGGAAACUGGACUUAGCUUCGCGGGGCAGACAGCUGUGGCCCAGGGUGGUAGGUAAU
RNAcentral lists this long non-coding RNA (120 nucleotides) under Fukomys damarensis (Damara mole-rat). Its description in RNAcentral is "Nuclear enriched abundant transcript 1 conserved region 1 (ENSFDAG00000005023.1)". It matches the Rfam family "Nuclear enriched abundant transcript 1 conserved region 1". The record is from RNAcentral. Lineage: Eukaryota; Metazoa; Chordata; Mammalia; Rodentia; Bathyergidae.